GAUGAACGCUGGCGGCGUGCCUAAUACAUGCCAGUCGAGCGAACAGACGAGGAGCUUGCUCCUCUGACGUUAGCGGGGGACGGGUGAGUAACACGUGGAUAACCUACCUAUAAGACUGGGAUAACUUCGGGAAACCGGAGCUAAUACCGGAUAAUAUAUUGAACCGCAUGGUUCAAUAGUGAAAGACGGUUUUGCUGUCACUUAUAGAUGGAUCCACGCCGCAUUAGCUAGUUGGUAAGGUAACGGCUUACCAAGGCGACGAUGCGUAGCCGACCUGAGAGGGUGAUCGGCCACACUGGAACUGAGACACGGUCCAGACUCCUACGGGAGGCAGCAGUAGGGAAUCUUCCGCAAUGGGCGAAAGCCUGACGGAGCAACGCCGCGUGAGUGAUGAAGGUCUUCGGAUCGUAAAACUCUGUUAUUAGGGAAGAACAAAUGUGUAAGUAACUAUGCACGUCUUGACGGUACCUAAUCAGAAAGCCACGGCUAACUACGUG
Molecule: ribosomal RNA, 497 nt
Filed under: uncultured bacterium
Lineage: Bacteria
Description: partial 16S ribosomal RNA
Rfam family: Bacterial small subunit ribosomal RNA
Source: RNAcentral